CCCGCAGCUCACCCCGCUUUCCUCUUCCAACGUAACCUGUCGGUAUAGAACAAAAGUAUACUCGCAUUUUGCUAUCAUACAGUAUUUAAAUUUAUUUCAGGCA
Etheostoma cragini (Arkansas darter) is the source of this 103-nucleotide long non-coding RNA. RefSeq lists it as uncharacterized. The transcript is spliced from 3 exons. Lineage: Eukaryota; Metazoa; Chordata; Actinopteri; Perciformes; Percidae. The record is from RefSeq and is a predicted model, not a curated record.